Molecule: long non-coding RNA, 322 nt
Filed under: Solanum tuberosum (potato)
Lineage: Eukaryota; Viridiplantae; Streptophyta; Magnoliopsida; Solanales; Solanaceae
Description: long non-coding RNA (STUB_LNC008599)
Source: RNAcentral
AAAAAAGGGAGAAAGAGCGAGAGAGAAAAGGGAGAAAGAGGCAAGAGAGAGACAAUUCUAAUAAAAUAUAUAGUAUUGUUAUAUAUUGCUAUAAAUGGUAAUAAUUAAAAAGUAUAUUUAAAAUAAGUAAUUAUUUUUUAAAAGGGAUCCACUCAAGUAAUUAGCCCUUUUAUUUAUUAUUAUCUUGUUAGAAUUUAGGACAGGUGGAAGAUGGGGCCUUAGGCCCAAAGAAAUAAAAUUCAAAUUUAGUUUAGGAUAGGUGCAGGUGACUCAAAUGGGCCGAAGACCCAAAAUGAAAAUGGGCCCAAGUACUGGUCCAGGC